This is a long non-coding RNA of Eupeodes corollae, 2304 nucleotides long. RefSeq lists it as uncharacterized. The record is from RefSeq and is a predicted model, not a curated record. The transcript is spliced from 6 exons. Lineage: Eukaryota; Metazoa; Arthropoda; Insecta; Diptera; Syrphidae.
UAGGGUUAUCACUAAAUAAUUUGAUGCGAUAGAAUUUGACGUUAAUAAAUUAGCGAAAAUUCGCUAAAGAUAAUUCAGCUAUAAAGUAAUAUUCACAUGGGCGCGACCAACGAACUACGAAUAAAUUACAAAAUGUGAGUUUAUAUACGUUUGAAGACAUAUUUCCACACAAAUUCUUAACAAAACGAUGGCAAUAUAGUUUCUAUUUGAUUUAUGAUGCAUACUUUUACUUUUCAAUAUCAUAUAUUAAUAAAUUUAAGAAAACAAAUUUAUUCGUCGCGAAAAAAAUGUAUGUUUAUACGAACUGUCAAGCUUUAUUCGCGUUCCACAUUUUCCACACUCGCAACGAAUAAAAUAAUCACGCGUACUUAACCUAAAAAAAUCAUUCUUGUUUUGGUUUCGGUGGUGAAUGGUGUUUGGCUGUGGGUCCUUGUCAAACUUCAUUCGCGGUGAAUUAAAAACUCUCAUGUAAAAGAAAUGUCAAAAUCGACGAAUAUUCGUUCAUUCGUUGGUCGUGCUCAUGUGAAUAGUGCUUAACCAAGUUCGAUUGUUUUGACAUUUGAAGCGAAUUUAAUUCAAGCGAAUCAAUACUCAUAAUACGAAGUUAUCGAAUUCGCAAGUGUUCAAGCUCGCUUCGCUGCUCAUAAUGUGGGCCAUGCUAUAUCAAAAACCUUAAUAAUCAAGAGCUACAAGUGCAUUUAAUUGAAAAAACUAUAGACCAGAAGCCAGACGAAACCAAUGAGAUUUAUUUUACUCGGAGUUCAAGUAGCUAUGUAUGAAUUAUUUCAAUAAUAUACUUGACUAGCGCCAAAUAAUACGAAAACAUCUUAACUACAACGGAAGUACUUAACAAAAAAUCCACUUAGUGUUUUUAUUUCGGGUACUGCCGAUUACAAACCAUGAUACAGAAAGCAACUUCCCUUAAGAAAUUUAGAUUAUUUGCUAAACAAGGGCACUGUUUUCCAGCCGUUGGCCUUUAUUUUUAAAUAAUUAUUCUACACUCAAUUGCUGCUGUAUCAUGAUCGGUGACAUCUGCCUCAGGGGCUAUGGUGGGUGCAGCCAAUAGUCUGCAAUGCAAUAAUACCAGCAGCAACAACACCACCAGAGCUACGAAUUAACGAACUUCCUCAGCUAUGUCAUCGACUUUGUGAAAUUCAAGUCAAUGUUUCAAGUGAAAAAUUUUAAUCAGUUUUGGAACUACUUAACAGCAGCUACAGCAACUUACGAGUAAUCUAAAUAUGGAUAUUUAAAAUUCUAUGGUUCUUUAGGAUUUUCAAAGUCCUCCGCCUAUUCAUGAGCCGCCAAGCAAUAUGUACCAACCGACCAAAAAAAACGAAUCUUGCAGCUGCAACUCAAAAUCAAAUGGGGUGGCGCAACAGUCCGUUUUGAACCAGGGCCUAGUGACUUACAACUCUCAACCAUUCCUGUGUGCGAGUACUGUUGUCAGGAAUGGAAGGGACCUACAAUUUAAGGCCGAAUCCGAACGGCUAGUUUGAGAAAGCACUUUUUCAUGACAAGAAUUACUCUUGAAGGAUUUGUCAAUUCCUCGCAAGAGGCAGUACCCGCGAAAAUUAAUUUUUUAAAUUAAGCUGGCACAGGCAGGGAUUGAACCCAAGACCCCGCAUGACAUUCCAACACACUAACCAUCAUGCCACGGGUACUACACAGCAACAUUUUAUGUUUUCAUACAACUGUCUCACUAAAUGACAGCGAGACACUGAGCUCAUCGAGACAGCGGCUUUUGCCGACACAGACCUUUGUUUCUUUUUAGCGCCAAACAGCAACUUCAAUGGCAAUGCCAAAAACAAAUGUAGGCCAUGACCAACUAAUGCACCUUUGAAAUCAUCAGCACGCCUUCAUCAUCAACCGUUCCAGAAUAGCUGCUGUUGUCGAUCACACUUGCCCUAGCACAGAAGUUAUCAUCUACUCGUAACACACAACUAGGCUAAUGCCAAGUCUAUCCAAGGCACUUGCACUGUCUUUGCACCCACUCCCAACUAGCGGUACCUGCGAGCGAAAAAUAAGAAUCUUGUAUUACUCGUAACACCUGCACCAUUGACUACAGAUAUGGAUAUGGAGCAUAAGCACAGAGCAUCAAAAUCAACGACAUCGGCCGCCAAGUUUUCCAUCAUCGAUCGUCGCUCCCAAAUAGCGGUAGUUGCGACAGACAAUGAUGACUUAGUUUAAGUUACCUAAGCUGAAGCAGUAGCAACAACCAACAAGUGUUAUGCAGACGCAUGUAUGGAAAUCGAAAUAAAGUAUAAAAGCCUAUACUGUGUGGGCGUAGAAAACAGUCCAUUAUAA